AGCCUUGAUAUAGAGAGAGGUUAUCAGCUGGGAUAUGCAUUGUAGAGUGACCCCCAACCCCUACGUCCACCUUCAGCAUUUGAAAGCAACAUGAGAAUCUACUAUGAAAUUGGGUGGUUGCCCCACUCCCUAAAUGUUGCUAAAUAAAAAUGGAUUGAUCUCUAGUCAUCCAAGAAAAUUCUCUUAUCUCCUAAGUGAGGCUCACUGUUGUGUGAAAGAGCCUUCAAGCUAGU
Molecule: long non-coding RNA, 233 nt
Filed under: Homo sapiens (human)
Lineage: Eukaryota; Metazoa; Chordata; Mammalia; Primates; Hominidae
Description: HSALNT0145877
Source: RNAcentral